UCACACUUCUCUCACACAAAAAAAAAAUUCACACUAUUUGGCUUUUACUUCUCUCGAAUGGUCUCACCAAUCGCUCUUGCCUUUUUCCACUCGAUUUUCACCCCUCAAAGUUCUUCGCAAACUAAGUCGACAAAUCAAUACCGUUUGGGGUCGGCUUACAAAAUUGAUGUGGCUUUGGUGGGGCUGAUGUCGGGAUUAAAGGUAGGCUAUCAAACAAAAUAGAAAGGUUAAGUGUGGCUAGAAAUGAAUUUUGAGUACUUCAGACAGAAAACAAUGCUUUACAAACUCAAAAUGAAUUUCAAUCACCUUUUUUUUUUACUUCUGAAACAUUUUUUUUCUUCUUUUUUUUUUUAAUUUCUCUUUUUUUUCCAAUAUUGAAUACAAAAGAAGACAAGGAAAAGAAAAAAAUUGAAUAUAAAUUUUUUUGAAUUUUUUUUUGAAUUUUUUUUUGAAUUUUUUCCUUCUUUUUUACAAUACCGAAAUGCCAAUAACUUCGAUUCUUACUCCAAUUCAGCUAGCUCUGAUAACAAAUGAUACGCCCUGGCUCGGGAAGGAGAGUCGAGUCGUAGAUGUGCCCGAUCGUGAAUUGGAGUAAUACUCGAGGGUGGACGAAAUAGGUUAAGAAAGAAGAGAUAAAGGCUCAAAUUUAGUUCAAAAGGGGUUAUGAAAUGUAUUGAGGAUGAUAGGUGAAUGAAAACCAAGUAUUCAAGUUGAACCAACACAAUAUAAGUGUGUUAACCCGGGACUUAUACGAAUACUUAGGAAAGGUU
Molecule: long non-coding RNA, 770 nt
Filed under: Gossypium barbadense (sea-island cotton)
Lineage: Eukaryota; Viridiplantae; Streptophyta; Magnoliopsida; Malvales; Malvaceae
Description: long non-coding RNA (GBAR_LNC022810)
Source: RNAcentral